GGGAGAGUGUCCACGUCGACAUAUAAAUUCAACCAAUGUGGUUUGAACUUGCUUUCAUCUCCGACGGAACCUGAGUUCUGAGAACGUGUUUCAUCUUCUUCCUUAGAAUUCGAAAAGCUACCAGUAAGUCCUUAUUAAAUCCAUCACCGACGAUCUACGAUCUUCCCUCAUGCAAGGAGGUGGAACUGCGACUAUAAAAAUUGAUUGGAGAGCAGUUUCAUUUAACUUCGAUAUAUGACAGUGACAAUGAUUGCGGCUGUAUCAACAUCGAUGAAGGAGUUCCCGUGAUCGGAAUGGAGUACAAACUGUCUCAGGUGUUGCAGUUCUCUUGGUCAUCAUUGAAAAAGUCAGGUAUAAAUAAACAUUGAUAAAGAAAUAAGCUUUCCAUCGACUAUCAAAUUAUUUUUUUCAGGAAUACUUUACUGACCUGAAGGCGUUGAAGCCAAACUAUGGCAGGUACCAGAGACGCUUCCAGAAUAAGCACUCUCUAAGAUGAGCACACCACCAAAGAGUGAAUCACCAAUUUUCACACCUGACGAACUAACUGAAGCUGAUGGGUUCGUCUUUGGAUUCCCAACAAGGUACGGCAUGAUGGCUGCUCAGUUCAAAGUCUUCUUGGACACUACCGGUGGACUCCGGAGAACUCAGUCACUUGCUGGUAAACCAGCUGGAUCUUCUACAGCAGUGGCUCUCAAGGUGGUAGCCAAGAAACCACUGCGUAAGUUCCCAUGAAACCAUGAGAGUCGUGAGCCGUAGUUUGUCAAUAAUAAAGUAGAUGUUUUUUUCUCAAGUCAUGUUCACGCAUACGUGAGGUCAGUAAGUACACAAAACUUUAGCUCAUUAUGUCUCCGUUUAAACUAUAGAUUAUGAUAAUUUUUUGAGCUUCUGUGAAACCAUGAACUCUUUUUUUUUUUAUCAACUACCAUGAACCCAUAUCAAACAUAGCAGACACCGUGGUUAAUGACAUUUCCAGUCCACUAAAAGAUCAAUCUGCUCAUGUCUACAUCAUUUGUGAUGGAGGAAACAUUGAAGGAUUUGCUACCAAGUCAGCUAUAUAAUAAAGGACUUAUGGUCAUUGCAAACAACCUUUUUAUUAGAUUUUAGAUGUGUUAUAUGAUUUCUGCAGAAUGACUGAGCCUCAGCCUAAGUACUCUACCACAGAGAAGCAAGUUUUGGACAUGCUAUAAUCUCGAUAGAGAAAUGUACAUAUGCGCAGUAUGGAUGGGACAGGAAAAAUUUACGUAGUCAGGGCUGGCACCAUGUUGUUUUACAACUGGUUAUGGCAUCCUGAUGGUGAUUCUACUUCUUUUUCUUGAGAACCUCAAUAAAUAUAUCAGUUGCAACAUCUACAAAUAUAACCGUGACUGAUAACAGAGACUGACUGCUAAUGGUUCUGAGUCAUUCCCACUGCACAAAAGAACAAACAAAAAAAAAAGCCAAGUUGAAUAAUAAGACACAAACCAUCCAUACAUUACGUAAGACGUAGAAGAUAUACUUUGAAUUUACAAAACCAUUUAACGUAAUAAAAAUACAA
This is a long non-coding RNA of Brassica napus (rape), 1534 nucleotides long. RefSeq lists it as uncharacterized. Lineage: Eukaryota; Viridiplantae; Streptophyta; Magnoliopsida; Brassicales; Brassicaceae. The record is from RefSeq and is a predicted model, not a curated record. The transcript has 5 exons.